This 262-nucleotide ribosomal RNA is filed under the name uncultured bacterium. RNAcentral's name for it is "partial 16S ribosomal RNA". It matches the Rfam family "Bacterial small subunit ribosomal RNA", at positions 515 to 776 of the family's 1533-position model. The record is from RNAcentral.
CCGCGGUAAUACGGAGGGAGCUAGCGUUGUUCGGAAUUACUGGGAGUAAAGCGCGCGUAGGCGGUUUUUUAAGUCAGAGGUGAAAGCCCGGGGCUCAACCCCGGAAUUGCCUUUGAAACUAGGUAGCUAGAAUCUUGGAGAGGUCAGUGGAAUUCCGAGUGUAGAGGUGAAAUUCGUAGAUAUUCGGAAGAACACCAGUGGCGAAGGCGACUGACUGGACAAGUAUUGACGCUGAGGUACGAAAGCGUGGGGAGCAAACAGG